AGGGUUCGAUCCUGGCUUAGGAUGAACGCUAGCUACAGGCUUAACACAUGCAAGUCGAGGGGUAGCAGGGUAGCAAUACCGCUGACGACCGGCGCACGGGUGAGUAACACGUAUCCAACCUUCCCAUAACUCAGGGAUAGCCUUUCGAAAGAAAGAUUAAUACCUGAUAGUACUUUUUCAAGGCAUCUUGAGAAAGUUAAAGAUUUAUUGGUUAUGGAUGGGGAUGCGUUCCAUUAGAUAGUUGGUGAGGUAACGGCUCACCAAGUCUUCGAUGGAUAGGGGUUCUGAGAGGAAGGUCCCCCACAUUGGUACUGAGACACGGACCAAACUCCUACGGGAGGCAGCAGUGAGGAAUAUUGGUCAAUGGGCGAGAGCCUGAACCAGCCAAGUAGCGUGAAGGAUGAAGGUCCUAUGGAUUGUAAACUUCUUUUAUAGUAGAAUAAAGUGAUCCACGUGUGGAUUUUUGUAUGUAUACUAUGAAUAAGGAUCGGCUAACUCCGUGCCAGCCGCAGC
This 513-nucleotide ribosomal RNA is filed under the name uncultured bacterium. RNAcentral's name for it is "bacterial SSU rRNA". It matches the Rfam family "Bacterial small subunit ribosomal RNA", at positions 8 to 518 of the family's 1533-position model. The record is from RNAcentral.